AAAAAGUAUAGCUUGGAGUUCUCAAGUCAUGGCACAUUCUUGUUUGUUAGGGUUCUAUAUCAUCCUAGAACUAGAAAUAGUUGGAGGAAAAUACAGGCUCUGGAGCAGUAAAUGACCAGUUCAGGUCAAACAGACCUGAUGUGUUUGGGGAGCAGUUCACAAUCAUUAGCAAACACCCACGUGGCCAGUGUGCGAGGUGUACAAGGCGUGGGCCUAGCCCACCCUGCAGGUAUGAAAGCCAGGCUGCAAGGAAGACCAGCAGGGUCUCUACCCCAGUGUGGUGUCCAGAAGAAACAGGUCUAAGCCAACAUCCAGAGAAGACAGGAACAGCUGAGAAGCCCAGGGAAACAGCUGAAUUCCCAGAGUGGUGAGAACCAAGGUUUGGGAGUGGAAGCAGAGUUUCAGGGGCCUUGGAAGCCAGGCUUGGAGCCUUACACUUUGUCUUGCAGGUGCAGGCAGCGAUUUAAGGAUCUUGUGGGUCAGGUGGACAUUUGGGAAAGAACUCUGCCAGCGGUGUGAAGGCACGGCCUGGAUGUGGAGGCUGCGCAGUGAUGGAGGUGGCACUUUUUCCGAGAGGGCAGAAAUUAGCAGACUGUCUCCUGAGUCACACACUACCUCUCCUUGAGGAUGGCCCCGGCUGGAUGAGCAGAGAGGAUGAUGGGAGAGGCGGUCUGGACCCAUGACACAGCCAGCAAGUCCACGAGGGCCUUGACCUGCUCAGCCGGGGAGCUGGCACCAUGGAUCUGGUUGGCCUCCCCACC
This is a long non-coding RNA of Dipodomys spectabilis (banner-tailed kangaroo rat), 761 nucleotides long. RefSeq lists it as uncharacterized. NCBI's taxonomy places the organism in Eukaryota, Metazoa, Chordata, Mammalia, Rodentia, Heteromyidae. The record is from RefSeq and is a predicted model, not a curated record. The transcript has 3 exons.